UAGGGAAUCUUCGGCAAUGGACGAAAGUCUGACCGAGCAACGCCGCGUGAGUGAAGAAGGUUUUCGGAUCGUAAAACUCUGUUGUUAGAGAAGAACAAGGACGUUAGUAACUGAACGUCCCCUGACGGUAUCUAACCAGAAAGCCACGGCUAACUACGUGCCAGCAGCCGCGGUAAUACGUAGGUGGCAAGCGUUGUCCGGAUUUAUUGGGCGUAAAGCGAGCGCAGGCGGUUUCUUAAGUCUGAUGUGAAAGCCCCCGGCUCAACCGGGGAGGGUCAUUGGAAACUGGGAGACUGGAGUGAAGAAGAGGAGAGUGGAAUUCCAUGUGUAGCGGUGAAAUGCGUAGAUAUAUGGAGGAACACCAGUGGCGAAGGCGGCUCUCUGGUCUGUAACUGACGCUGAGGCUCGAAAGCGUGGGGAGAAAACAGG
This 429-nucleotide ribosomal RNA is filed under the name Gemmatimonadota bacterium. Its description in RNAcentral is "Gemmatimonadetes bacterium partial 16S ribosomal RNA". It matches the Rfam family "Bacterial small subunit ribosomal RNA", at positions 355 to 776 of the family's 1533-position model. Lineage: Bacteria; Pseudomonadati; Gemmatimonadota. The record is from RNAcentral.